AAAGCUCGUAGUUGGAUUCAGAGGUGGGGUURUGGGUCGGGUGUGGCCCGGCAGCUUGUCUCCGUGUGCCGCUCCCAAUCAACCCGCGUUUGCCCCAGCCUCCUAUCGCACGGAAACGGAGUCCUGCUGGGGUCUCCUUAACUGGGGGUUCCAGCGCUUCCGCGCACAACGUGCGCUUACGGACCGUCCGUGGACGUUACUGUGAACAAAACAGCGUGUUCAAAGCAAGUGGCUUGCCUGCCCUGCAUGUUAAAGCAUGRAAUAAYAAGGCAUCGACCACUCGGCGGUGCUUUUGUUGGUCUUUCCCUCCCGGUGGRAAUGCGCAGGCGUGCACACUGCCGGCCUUCUGGCCGGUCUGGGUGCCGUCUCUUCGAGAUCAAUAGGGGCAAACGGGGAGAUACCUAUUGUGGGGAGAGCGGUGAAAUGCGAUGACCCCCAUAAGAGGAACUUCAGCGAAAGCAGUUCUCAAGACUGCCUUCGUUAAUCAAGAACGAGACUGUGGGGAUCAAAGAUGAUCAGAUACCGUCGUAGUCCACUAGCGUAAACGAUGCCGACUCAUCRUUGGGGGGCAUCUCUAACAAGG
This 583-nucleotide ribosomal RNA is filed under the name uncultured marine eukaryote. RNAcentral's name for it is "bacterial SSU rRNA". It matches the Rfam family "Eukaryotic small subunit ribosomal RNA", at positions 625 to 1085 of the family's 1831-position model. The record is from RNAcentral.